RNAcentral lists this long non-coding RNA (1406 nucleotides) under Homo sapiens (human). RNAcentral's name for it is "non-protein coding CCDC144NL-AS1:13". The record is from RNAcentral. Lineage: Eukaryota; Metazoa; Chordata; Mammalia; Primates; Hominidae.
CACCAGGCCUGAGAUGUUGGAAGAUGGAGAAGCCUUUGCCACAGGAAAAAUCCUCCAUGAACACAAUGAAACUUGGCCUGCACCUGGGACAUCCUUCUCCACGGCUAGUCUACAAUGCAGGUGCUCUGCACACGCUCCCUGGCUGACCCCAACGCAGAGAAGAUGCACGUGAGCCCACCCCCACAGCAGGCGUGGACAUUUGCCUCCCUUUUAUAAUAGCUGUAUUCAAAUGAGGUAUCCUGGAAGCCUCGUUCUGAUAGGAUGAGAGCAGACUCUGUACUACAACACGGAUUGGAUAAUAGUCUCCAACUCUGAUUGGUUAAGAUUGUGCAAUCAGAGAUGGAAAUUAUUAUCCAAUAAGAGUUGUCAAAAAGGUUCCUUGCGCAGUGGUCGUCAUAGUUCAGAAGCGACCGGGAGCGUGUGUGGUGCGCGCCUGCCUUGAGGCCAGGCCUCAGAGAAGGGUGUCCCAGAUGUAGGCAAAGCGUCCUCCAUGUGUUCCUGGAGGACCGUCCCAAGUCCUUCUCCAUUCUCCCAACCUCUUGGGCCUGGUAAGUCUGGAUGCGAGCGCAUCCCACGGGGCCGAGGCACAGGGAGAGAGGAACGGGGCAGAGGGAGGAAAGCGUGUGCAGGGGCCCGGAGCGCCAGGCUGCCAGGGCUUCACCCCAUGGCCACCGGGGAGCUGUGGCCCCACUCGGCCCAAGGCAGAGUCCGGCCCUCCUGCUGCUGGCACUGUCACCUCCCUGGGGUCCUGCCUUCUGGGUCCCUGUGGGCCUCCUGUCAUCUGGCACUGGAAAUAAGCUAGCGAAGCAAAAUUUCGUGAAUAUUGGCCUUUGCAUCUUUUUCUUCAUUUUCAGUGCUGGUUUUUCUGUUGGGUCAUUUAUGUUCUUACAUUGAUUUGAAUAAUUUUAAAAUGUAUUUUAUAAAUUAAUUCUUCAUGGGCUCAUUUCUAGUGUAGAUAGUUGUUUCCUAGUCUGGUCAUUGUUCUUUAAUUGUAUUUUGCAUUUCUUUCUUGCUGAUACAUAGGAAUCUGAUUGAUUUUAUGUAUUCAUCUUGCAUCCUGUAGCCUGGCUUAAUUCACAUAUUCAUAACCAUCAUUUUUGGAUUGUGGUGUAUUUUUCAUGUACAUAAUAGUGUCAGCCACAUACAAUAACAGCUGUAUUGCUUAAAUGUUGGUUCUUAUACCUUUAUUUUUGUUUUAUUGUCCCAAUUACACCUCCAGCACUGUGUGAAAUAGAGGGGGUAUGUCCAGGAAGUCUUGCUUGGUUCUGAUUACAGUGGAAAAGCUUCAGUGGUCCUGUGUUGUAAUUUCAUUUUAGACAAGCUUAAUCAGAUUAAGGAAGCUGCCUUCCUUUGCAUUUGCUAAGAGUUAUGACUAAUUGUUGAAUUUGAAUAAAUGCUUUUUUUAC